ACAGGCGCCAGGCUGUGCCAUAGUGUAGUUCUAGCAUCUGUUGUGGGGUUCAGAGUUUUCCAACGUGCAUGCAUCAAAGGGUGCCCAGGAGAACCUAUCCGUCUUGCUUCCAGAAGAUAACUCCAAAAGAUGUGACCUCUCAGAGUUCACACUGCCCAAGUGGAUUGUUUCCUUGGAGGCAUAGAAUCUGCGGAGUUCAAUCAAGUCAUGUCAAGGAGAAAAUCUCUUGUCUUUGCUGGCAUCAUGCAUGACAAAUCCACAUUGCUCAGAGACUCAAAGCAAGAGGUCAGAUGUCAAAGAAGAGACUUCUAGGAGACACCAAGAAAAACAUUCCAAAAAAAGAAAAAGGAAGGAAAGAAAAGAAAACCUAAGAACAGCAAUUUGAAAAACAAACAAGAUAAG
This 402-nucleotide long non-coding RNA is filed under the name Equus caballus (horse). Its description in RNAcentral is "lncRNA (ENSECAG00000049335.1)". The record is from RNAcentral. Lineage: Eukaryota; Metazoa; Chordata; Mammalia; Perissodactyla; Equidae.